RNAcentral lists this long non-coding RNA (301 nucleotides) under Androctonus crassicauda. Lineage: Eukaryota; Metazoa; Arthropoda; Arachnida; Scorpiones; Buthidae. The record is from RNAcentral.
UGUAAGUAAAAGUGAAACAUUGUCUGUGAGAUAUAUGUAAAUGAGCUUGAAUGCAAACAAAUCAUGUGAAUCACUAUAUAAGCUGCUCUUUCAAAUGAACAAUCAAAAGAGGGAGAUGCACUUACAAGCAACGUUAGGCUUAGUACAUAAGAGAAGUUCUUAUAAUCAACCAAUUGAAUGUAUGUUUGUAUUGGUGCAGAGACAUUUUGCUUUAAAUAGAAGUGAGAUUAUUUUGGUAUUGAUUAUUAUUUCGUUGGAGAUAUUUUGUUGGAGAUAAUUUAUUUUGAUAGAUUAAAUAAAU